CUCCUACGGGGGGCAGCAGUGGGGGAUAUUGGACAAUGGGGGAAACCCUGAUCCAGCGAUGCCGCGUGAGGGAAGAAGGUUUUCGGAUUGUAAACCUCUGUGGAGGGGGACGAUAAUGACGGUACCCCUUUAGGAAGCCACGGCUAACUACGUGCCAGCAGCCGCGGUAAUACAUAGGGGGCAAGCGUUAUCCGGAAUUAUUGUGUGUAAAGGGUGCGUAGACGGGAAAUUAAGUUAGUUGUGAAAUCCCCAGGCUCAACUUGGGAAUUGCAACUAAAACUGGUUUUCUUGAGUACUGGAGUGGA
This 305-nucleotide ribosomal RNA is filed under the name uncultured bacterium. RNAcentral's name for it is "bacterial SSU rRNA". It matches the Rfam family "Bacterial small subunit ribosomal RNA", at positions 336 to 658 of the family's 1533-position model. The record is from RNAcentral.